Carassius gibelio (silver crucian carp) is the source of this 971-nucleotide long non-coding RNA. RefSeq lists it as uncharacterized. The transcript has 6 exons. Lineage: Eukaryota; Metazoa; Chordata; Actinopteri; Cypriniformes; Cyprinidae. The record is from RefSeq and is a predicted model, not a curated record.
AGCUGAAAAGACAUAAAGGCAGUCAGCCCAGUGGUGUUUCUGGAGAGGGAUUCCUUCAGAAAUGGAGAAGACAGAAAGCUGCGGAGGCAGAUAUUUGCAGCAUGUUCGAGUGAGCAUGAUGACCACAAGUGUGUGUCAAACUUUUCAUGACCUGAUGACUGUGUUUCCCAAUCCUGAUCCUGGAGAACCCCAGCACUGCACGGUUUUGGUGUCUCUCUUAUCUGCCUUGGAGUCUUCACUGAUGAGCUGAUGAGUUGAAUCAGGUCUAAAAUAUCGAGCUCAACAGCUCACUCAAGAGCCAACCCUCACAAACCUUCCUAAAAACUAAAAGAGCUAUUACUGAGUCUCAGCGAAUCUUGCCAUGAUCAGCUCUUCCCAGAAGAGAAGGAAGACCAAGGAAAUGAUUUGCUCAGGAUGAGAAAUGAAGAUGGCCAUCUUGUGCUCAAACAAACAGAAGUCCUCUGAUGAUCUCAUCAGCCAAAUGAGGGGUUUUGACCAAGUGAUGCUCUUGAAAGGAGUGAAAGAAGAGGAUGUGCUAAAUUCUCUUCAGAGAAAAAGCUUCUCAAAAGGUCUCAAAACAGCUUGAAGAAUGGUCUGGGAUCUUAGGACUGAGAGAUCCUCUGGCUGAGAGAAGCUACACCACAUCAGUGCUGGAUAUCAACCACAAACUGUUUCCAGACACGAGAGAAGAAGAACACGAUGGGGAGAUGAAACCAGUUUAGAUGUGAUGAUGGGAAUCAUUAUUUUCUGGAACAGUAUCUCAUGUCUUAUAUGUAUCACAUGAUCUGUAUCACAGUUGAAUGGAUGGGACUGUGUGACUUUUAAGGACAUUUCAUCACUCAUCUGUGUGAACUGAUUUAUAUAUGAGGUUAAUGUAUUUUUGAUGAUAAUUAUUUUCAUUGAAUCUUAUUCGUCUUGAUGCUACUUUAUCAACUUUAUAGUCUAUGCUUCAAUAAAAUGAAAAUGGUGAA